AUCCAGCUGACAAGUCCCAAACAGGACGAAACACGCGUCCUGGAU
This is a non-coding RNA of Schistosoma mansoni, 45 nucleotides long. Lineage: Eukaryota; Metazoa; Platyhelminthes; Trematoda; Strigeidida; Schistosomatidae. The record is from Rfam.